GCUACAGGCUUAACACAUGCAAGUCGAGGGGCAGCAUGGUCUUAGCUUGCUAAGGCCGAUGGCGACCGGCGCACGGGUGAGUAACGCGUAUCCAACCUGCCUUACACUCUUGGACAGCCUUCUGAAAGGGAGAUUAAUACAAGAUGUUAUCAUGAGUAAGCAUUUUCGCAUGAUUAAAGGUUUACCGGUGUAAGAUGGGGAUGCGUUCCAUUAGAUAGUAGGCGGGGUAACGGCCCACCUAGUCUUCGAUGGAUAGGGGUUCUGAGAGGAAGGUCCCCCACAUUGGAACUGAGACACGGUCCAAACUCCUACGGGAGGCAGCAGUGAGGAAUAUUGGUCAAUGGACGAGAGUCUGAACCAGCCAAGUAGCGUGAAGGAUGAAGGUUCUAUGGAUUGUAAACUUCUUUUAUACGGGAAUAAACGAAUCCACGUGUGGAUUUUUGCAUGUACCGUAUGAAUAAGGAUCGGCUAACUCCGUGCCAGCAGCCGCGGUAAUACGGAGGAUCCGAGCGUUAUCCGGAUUUAUUGGGUUUAAAGGGAGCGUAGAUGGGUUGUUAAGUCAGUUGUGAAAGUUUGCGGCUCAACCGUAAAAUUGCAAUUGAUACUGGCAGUCUUGAGUACAGUUGAGGUAGGCGGAAUUCGUGGUGUAGCGGUGAAAUGCUUAGAUAUCACGAAGAACUCCGAUUGCGAAGGCAGCUUACUAACCUGUAACUGACAUUGAUGCUCGAAAGUGUGGGUAUCAAACAGGAUUAGAUACCCUGGUAGUCCACACGGUAAACGAUGAAUACUCGCUGUAGGCGAUAUACAGUCUGCGGCCAAGCGAAAGCAUUAAGUAUUCCACCUGGGGAGUACGCCGGCAACGGUGAAACUCAAAGGAAUUGACGGGGGCCCGCACAAGCGGAGGAACAUGUGGUUUAAUUCGAUGAUACGCGAGGAACCUUACCCGGGCUUAAAUUGCAACCGAAUAUGGCGGAAACGCUAUAGCUAGCAAUAGCGGUUGUGAAGGUGCUGCAUGGUUGUCGUCAGCUCGUGCCGUGAGGUGUCGGCUUAAGUGCCAUAACGAGCGCAACCCUUGCCGAUAGUUACUAACAGGUCAUGCUGAGGACUCUGUCGGGACUGCCAUCGUAAGAUGUGAGGAAGGUGGGGAUGACGUCAAAUCAGCACGGCCCUUACGUCCGGGGCUACACACGUGUUACAAUGGGGGGUACAGAGGGCUGCUACCACGCAAGUGGAUGCCAAUCCCAAAAACCUCUCUCAGUUCGGAUUGAAGUCUGCAACCCGACUUCAUGAAGCUGGAUUCGCUAGUAAUCGCGCAUCAGCCACGGCGCGGUGAAUACGUUCCCGGGCCUUGUACACACCGCCCGUCAAGCCAUGGGAGCCGGGGGUACCUGAAGUGCGUAACCGCAAGGAGCGCCCUAGGGUAAAACUGGUGACUGGGGCU
RNAcentral lists this ribosomal RNA (1441 nucleotides) under uncultured organism. RNAcentral's name for it is "SSU rRNA". It matches the Rfam family "Bacterial small subunit ribosomal RNA". The record is from RNAcentral.